Oreochromis niloticus (Nile tilapia) is the source of this 747-nucleotide long non-coding RNA. RefSeq lists it as uncharacterized. The transcript has 4 exons. Lineage: Eukaryota; Metazoa; Chordata; Actinopteri; Cichliformes; Cichlidae. The record is from RefSeq and is a predicted model, not a curated record.
GACACCAAAAUAAAAGCACAGAUCGAUCAGCAGCUUCUGAUUGGCUCAUGUAAAUGAAAAAUCAAUCAAUCAAUAUGUUAACUGAUGUGCUGAUUAUCAGCUCAGCUCAGGUGUAAUGAUACAACAUAAAGAGGUCCCGCCCCUUUCACACUCUACUCUGUUCUGACUGGCCAACACCAGAGCACUCUCCAGCAGGAAUCUGACCAAAAACAUGGCUGCUGGUUAAUCAGACCAACACAGGUCAAAAUCUGAGCUGCUGCAAAGCUGACGGUCAGACUGACCUCAUGGCGAUCCUCCUGAAUCACCGCAAAGACCAUCUGCAAGUAAACACCACAGGAAGUGACCUGCCUGCACCUUCUCAGCAGGUGGCAGCCUGUGACUGGGUAGCGGAGAAAGCGCCGCUCCACACUGAGCGCAGAACUGAGCGAACGGGUCAGAGGGGCGGCGAUGCAGACAGCGAGCACACCUGAAUGCACAGAAACUGUUGGUUCAUCAGGUUUACAGUGUGAAGCCGAAACUCUGUUUGAUGAGCUGUCCACAAACUUUUGGCUCUGAUGGAGGGCUGUACCGUGUGGUCGUACCGCAGGAAGUCGGUGUCUCGCUGCACUCUUGUCGUCUCCGUGCUCUUCAGCUGCCUCAGGUCACCUGACCCCCUAAAAACCGCAGGCUGGGAGCGGUGAGAUGAGACGAGCUGGGCGCCGAUCUCAGAGCCAUGACGACCGUACAGAAAACGAGGGCCUGACUGAA